ACAAUUUAAAUCCCUUAACAAGGAUCGAUUGGAGGGCAAGUCUGGUGCCAGCAGCCGCGGUAAUUCCAGCUCCAAAAGCGUAUAUUAAAGUUGCUGCAGUUAAAAAGCUCGUAGUUGGAUUUCUGGCACGGUGCGCCUGGUCCGCCGCCCUCGAGGUGUGUGAGUACCGGCGCGCGCCUGCCAUCCUUCGCGGGUCGGCGCCUCCCCUUCACUGGGCGCGGGCGUCGGGCCGCGAUCGUUUACUUUGAAAAAAUUAGAGUGUUUCUAGCAGGCGUUGUCGCCGUGAAUACAUUAGCAUGGAAUAAUAAGAUAGGACUUGGGUUCUAUUUUGUUGGUUUCUAGGACCGAAGUAAUGAUUGACAGAGACAGUUGGGGGUGCUGGUAUUCACGGGCCAGAGGUGAAAUUCUUGGAUUCCGUGAAGACCAACUUAUGCGAAAGCAUUCACCAAGGAUGUCUUCUUUAAUCAAGAACGAAAGUUGGGGG
RNAcentral lists this ribosomal RNA (484 nucleotides) under uncultured eukaryote. RNAcentral describes it as "SSU rRNA". It matches the Rfam family "Eukaryotic small subunit ribosomal RNA", at positions 520 to 996 of the family's 1831-position model. The record is from RNAcentral.